Juglans microcarpa x Juglans regia is the source of this 1397-nucleotide RNA transcript. RefSeq lists it as uncharacterized. Lineage: Eukaryota; Viridiplantae; Streptophyta; Magnoliopsida; Fagales; Juglandaceae. The transcript has 2 exons. The record is from RefSeq and is a predicted model, not a curated record.
AGAAAAAAAGGACUUUUACGGCAAUUUUAAAUUCGCUGCAAAUAAAAUUGCCACAAUAAGUAAUCUUUUGCAGCUAAAAUAAAAUCGUCAUGGCCUUUGUACAAUUUAAACGCGGUGGUGUCCAAACUUUUGUAUUUACAUCGAUUUAAUGCCUUUUAACGGCGAGAAAAAUCAACGGAAGUUGGAAAAAUUAGUCGCAACGGGAUAAAAUCGACGGGAUUGAGUCUGGGGUGCCGAAACACACUAAACAUUUGAUUCCACACCCCCGCGCGCGCGCAUGGUGAGCCUUACCCAGUCUUCGUCACAAUACCCCCUUCUCCACUUCGACCUUCUUCCCCAAUUCGGGUACCUGCAAUUAAAUCCUCCCACUUCAUACACACGGUUUCAUCUCCAUUAUCGACUACGUCCCAAAGCUUUUGCAUGGGCCAGGGACGUGGUUUCCUCCCCAUACAAAAUUUGUGCCUCCUUCAACAAAUCUCCGAGUGAUUUUUUGUGAGAUUUUCAAGUAUCGGAGGGCGAGCAUAAUCGACCGAUACUCUUGAAGUGAAAUCCUUCCGUUAACACAGACCUAUGCUAUUAUUUCAGCUCAACCAAUCAUGAGGUCUGAAAAAUGUCUACGACCAUAUCACCUUGCACUCCAUAUGUAUGGAUAUAUUACCCAUUAAGUAUACUUUUAUUACCUAUUGUACUGCUAUUAUCUCAUCAAGAGUGAUACAAUUGGUGAAGAACUUCUCGUUCUAUAUAUGCUUCAUUAAACCAAUUCUGAACUCAUAUAGAAAAAUUGUGGUAGAUUCAUCAACCUCUGGUUAGUGCAAAUCAGUUUGAGCAUGACUUCUAAAUGGCUUGUGUUUAAAGUAGUGAGCUUCAUAAAACUUGAUGAAGUCCAUCUUUUCUUCUGAUUUUUUUGUAACUGUUAUCUAUGGAAUAUGGAUAUCUUUAUGCCUUGAGCAUCAGUACAUUCACACCCGAAUCUCCUACGAUCAAGUAAGAAUUGGAAUAUGGAAAGCAGUAAUCAUGUUGCAGUGCAUGGAAGGAUUUAAGCAUUUAGGUGCUUCCCUACUAGGGGAUGACCUAAAUCAUAGCUUUGUUGUCUGAGUACGUCAUGGCUACAAUUGAGGCAAGUAAAAAACAUUUAAUUUUCAUUCUUUCUGGUGUGGUUGAAAACUAUUUGAUAGUAUGGAUAACAUUAAUUGAAUUGUACACUCGACAUGGCAUUUGGAGAAGCACCAAUAUACAUGGCAUUUGUUUACCAUGGUACUCAUUAUUAUUCCAUUAAUCUCUUUCAGGAUGCAUCAGAUUCUUGGGGUUUGUCUGUUAGCUUCCUCAGCAUAAUAUUGCUACCAAUUGUGGGAAAUGUAGCGGAACAUGCAGGAGCAAUCAUAUUUGCUUUCAAGAAC